AUCUCAUUUGCAGACACAUGGUGCUCAUUGGGGGUUACAAAAGGCGUACGUGAAUU
This 56-nucleotide small RNA is filed under the name Caenorhabditis elegans. RNAcentral's name for it is "Unclassified non-coding RNA C03F11.6". Lineage: Eukaryota; Metazoa; Nematoda; Chromadorea; Rhabditida; Rhabditidae. The record is from RNAcentral.